GGGCCUAUAGCUCAGUUUUGGUCAGAGCGCACGCCUGAUAAGCGUGAGGUCGAUGGUUCAAUUCCAUCUAGGCCCACCA
Molecule: transfer RNA, 79 nt
Filed under: Syntrophobacter sp. DG_60
Lineage: Bacteria; Pseudomonadati; Thermodesulfobacteriota; Syntrophobacteria; Syntrophobacterales; Syntrophobacteraceae
Description: tRNA-Ile
Rfam family: tRNA
About the family: Transfer RNA (tRNA) molecules are approximately 80 nucleotides in length. Their secondary structure includes four short double-helical elements and three loops (D, anti-codon, and T loops). Further hydrogen bonds mediate the characteristic L-shaped molecular structure. tRNAs have two regions of fundamental functional importance: the anti-codon, which is responsible for specific mRNA codon recognition, and the 3' end, to which the tRNAs corresponding amino acid is attached (by aminoacyl-tRNA synthetases). tRNAs cope with the degeneracy of the genetic code in two manners: having more than one tRNA (with a specific anti-codon) for a particular amino acid; and 'wobble' base-pairing, i.e. permitting non-standard base-pairing at the 3rd anti-codon position.
Source: RNAcentral